This 366-nucleotide ribosomal RNA is filed under the name Triticum aestivum (bread wheat). RNAcentral describes it as "partial small subunit ribosomal RNA". Lineage: Eukaryota; Viridiplantae; Streptophyta; Magnoliopsida; Poales; Poaceae. The record is from RNAcentral.
AUGGAUGUUUAUCUAGAGCCGUUAGUUGAUGAUAUGGUAGAUAUGUUUCUUCACGGUGUUAGAACAUGCGAUGCUUCAAAAGAAGAGUUCUUUAAUUUGAAGGCUGCCAUAUUAUGGACCAUUCAUGAUUUCCCGGGCCUAGGGUAUACAGCUGGUUGUACUACCUCCGGUGAAGGAGCUUGUCCUGAAUGUCAUUCUGACACAUGUUCUCUUAGGCUGAAUAAUGGUAGCAAGACAUGCUACAUGGGGCAUCGCAGGUUCUUACAUGAAGACCACCCCUUUAGGUCCAAUACCCAUUUUUUUGAUGGCAUUGAUGAGCAUAGGCCGGCGCCAAUUCCUCUCUCUGGACCAGAAAUUGUUGCUUAG